This 664-nucleotide ribosomal RNA is filed under the name Salmonella enterica. RNAcentral describes it as "partial 23S ribosomal RNA". The record is from RNAcentral. Lineage: Bacteria; Pseudomonadati; Pseudomonadota; Gammaproteobacteria; Enterobacterales; Enterobacteriaceae.
AGCGUCUGGAAAGGCGCGCGAUACAGGGUGACAGCCCCGUACACAAAAGCGCAUGUGCUGUGAGCUCGAUGAGUAGGGCGGGACACGUGGUAUCCUGUCUGAAUAUGGGGGGACCAUCCUCCAAGGCUAAAUACUCCUGACUGACCGAUAGUGAACCAGUACCGUGAGGGAAAGGCGAAAAGAACCCCGGCGAGGGGAGUGAAAAAGAACCUGAAACCGUGUACGUACAAGCAGUGGGAGCCCCACCACUAAGCCAGUGGUGAACUCCACAUMCGCAUCCUUUGCUGAGGAUACGGUUAACGGAGCGAAAGCGACGUUCAACCGCAAAASAAGCAGAGGGGGCUUAGUGGUGGGGUGACUGCGUACCUUUUGUAUAAUGGGUCAGCGACUUAUAUUCUGUAGCAAGGUUAACCGUAUAGGGGAGCCGGAGGGAAACCGAGUCUUAAUYGGGCGUUAAGUUGCAGGGUAUAGACCCGAAACCCGGUGAUCUAGCCAUGGGCAGGUUGAAGGUUGGGUAACACUAACUGGAGGACCGAACCGACUAAUGUUGAAAAAUUAGCGGAUGACCUGUGGCUGGGGGUGAAAGGCCAAUCAAACCGGGAGAUAGCUGGUUCUCCCCGAAAGCUAUUUAGGUAGCGCCUCGUGAAUUCAUCUCCGGGGGUAG